RNAcentral lists this long non-coding RNA (202 nucleotides) under Lathyrus oleraceus (garden pea). RNAcentral's name for it is "Pisum sativum (pea) long non-coding RNA (PSAT_LNC009784)". Lineage: Eukaryota; Viridiplantae; Streptophyta; Magnoliopsida; Fabales; Fabaceae. The record is from RNAcentral.
UACCGAAGGACAAUCUUCUCUGAGAGGUAGCCUGUGCACCACAAUAUCUGUAUCCAAACCAAGCAUAUCUUGAUACGACCAUGCGAAUACGUCCACAUAUUCUUGCAGCAUUUCAAUUAGCCCUCUCUUGACCUUUUCCUCUAAAGCAGCCCCUAUCCUGAUCUCUUUCUUUGCAUCCUCAGUACCAAGGUUAAUGACUUCC